AGCGAACGUUAGCGGCGGGCCUAACACAUGCAAGUCGAACGAGAAUGAGGGGGCAACUCCUCUAGUAAAGUGGCGGACGGGUGCGUAACACGUAGGUAAUUUACCUUCCGGCGGGGGACAACAGUCCGAAAGGACUGCUAAUACCGCAUACGUCGGCGAGGUCUCCGGACCUUGUCGGGAAAGAUGGCCUCUCCUUGGAAGCUGUCACCGGAAGAUGAACCUGCGGCCCAUCAGCUAGUUGGUGAGGAACGGCUCACCAAGGCGAAGACGGGUAGCUGGUCUGAGAGGAUGAUCAGCCACACUGGGACUGCGACACGGCCCAGACUCCUACGGGAGGCAGCAGUGGGGAAUAUUGGGCAAUGGGCGCAAGCCUGACCCA
RNAcentral lists this ribosomal RNA (379 nucleotides) under uncultured bacterium. Its description in RNAcentral is "bacterial SSU rRNA". It matches the Rfam family "Bacterial small subunit ribosomal RNA", at positions 29 to 390 of the family's 1533-position model. The record is from RNAcentral.